RNAcentral lists this ribosomal RNA (471 nucleotides) under uncultured bacterium. RNAcentral's name for it is "bacterial SSU rRNA". It matches the Rfam family "Bacterial small subunit ribosomal RNA", at positions 28 to 507 of the family's 1533-position model. The record is from RNAcentral.
GAUGAACGCUAGCUACAGGCUUAACACAUGCAAGUCGAGGGGCAGCGGGGGUCUAGCUUGCUAGAUUUGCCGGCGACCGGCGCACGGGUGAGUAACACGUAUCCAACCUGGCCCAUACUCGGGUAUAGCCUCUCGAAAGGGAGAUUAAUCCCCGAUGUUGUUGCGAUUCCGCAUGGUGUUGCAACCAAGAAUUUCGGUAUGGGAUGGGGAUGCGUUCCAUUAGCUUGUUGGAGGGGUUAACGGCCCACCAAGGCGACGAUCAGUAGCCGACCUGAGAGGGUGACCGGCCACAUUGGGACUGAGACACGGCCCAAACUCCUACGGGAGGCAGCAGUGGGGAAUAUUGGGCAAUGGGGGAAACCCUGACCCAGCAACGCCGCGUGAAGGAAGAAGGCCUUCGGGUUGUAAACUUCUUUUAGCAGGGACGAAGAACGUGACGGUACCUGCAGAAAAGCAACGGCUAACUACGUG